GGGGUUGUGGCUCAAGUGGUAGAGCGCUCGCCUAGCACAUGUGAGGCACUGGGUUUGAUCCUCAGCACCACA
RNAcentral lists this transfer RNA (72 nucleotides) under Marmota monax (woodchuck). RNAcentral describes it as "tRNA.Ala". Lineage: Eukaryota; Metazoa; Chordata; Mammalia; Rodentia; Sciuridae. The record is from RNAcentral.